GCAUGACCAAAUUGUCAAGCUGGCUUUGCCACUGCAAGGGGGGCUAUAUUUGGAAUGGCCUGAGUGUUAGUGAAUAUGGUGGGCUUAUAGGUGGGGCUUAUACUCGGGUGGGCUUUAAUAUUCGGAGCUUUACAGUAGUCUAAUUAACCCAUCGAGCGCCAGCACUCUCCUCUUGAUCAGUAAAAUCAUCUGGUGUUAGACAGUAAAAAAUAAAGUAAGUUGGAUUGGGCGCAAUGCAACUCAAUGGGUUAACGUAUGAAAAUUUAAAUAUGGCCAGGGUGUUUAUUAGAU
Paramuricea clavata is the source of this 291-nucleotide non-coding RNA. NCBI's taxonomy places the organism in Eukaryota, Metazoa, Cnidaria, Anthozoa, Malacalcyonacea, Plexauridae. The record is from the annotation of a GenBank genome assembly.